CCUACGGGAGGCAGCAGUGAGGAAUAUUGGUCAAUGGUCGGGAGACUGAACCAGCCAAGCCGCGUGAGGGAGGAAGGUACAGAGUAUCGUAAACCUCUUUUGUCAGGGAACAAAGGCGGGGACGUGUCCCCGGAUGAGUGUACCUGAAGAAAAAGCAUCGGCUAACUCCGUGCCAGCAGCCGCGGUAAUACGGAGGAUGCGAGCGUUAUCCGGAUUUAUUGGGGUUAAAGGGUGCGCCGGCGGUCUGUUAAGUACGCGGUCAAAGCCCGGGGCUCAACCCCGGACCGCCGUUGAAACUGGCAGUCGCGAGUUGGAGAGAAGUAUGCGGAAUGCGCGGUGUAGCGGUGAAAUGCAUAGAUAUCGCGCAGAACUCCGAUUGCGAAGGCAGCAUGCCGGCUCCACACUGACGCUGAGGCACGAAAGCGUGGGUAUCGAACAGGAUUAGAUACCCGUGUAGUC
This 459-nucleotide ribosomal RNA is filed under the name uncultured bacterium. RNAcentral describes it as "partial 16S ribosomal RNA". It matches the Rfam family "Bacterial small subunit ribosomal RNA", at positions 338 to 795 of the family's 1533-position model. The record is from RNAcentral.